GUCCAGGUGGCGAAAUUGGUACACGCGGCAGCUUGAGGAGCUGUGCUCUUUUGAGCAUGCGGGUUCGAGUCCCGCCCUGGGCACCA
Molecule: transfer RNA, 86 nt
Filed under: Candidatus Parcubacteria bacterium 4484_255
Lineage: Bacteria; Candidatus Parcubacteria
Description: tRNA-Leu
Rfam family: tRNA
About the family: Transfer RNA (tRNA) molecules are approximately 80 nucleotides in length. Their secondary structure includes four short double-helical elements and three loops (D, anti-codon, and T loops).
Source: RNAcentral